Molecule: non-coding RNA, 739 nt
Organism: Nicotiana tabacum (common tobacco)
Lineage: Eukaryota; Viridiplantae; Streptophyta; Magnoliopsida; Solanales; Solanaceae
Source: RefSeq, a predicted model, not a curated record
CCAUACAUUGAGGACAAUUUUGAUCUUUAUUUUCCUCGCCUUUUCCAACUAUUCUAAUCAAAGCUACUACCUGAAAUGGUUCAUUUCUAUGUUUUAUAAACUUUAAGGUGCUCAAGAAAACAAAAAAGUUAUUUAAGGUGUCAAAGUAUGAAAAUCCAUGAAAGCUCCUACACUCUUUGACUCUUUUUUNAUUUUCUCGCAGUUUUAGAGAAUCAAAGAAAAGAGGAAGGAGAAGAUGAUGCGAACGAGGUUGCUAUGGUUCACAAUAGGUCUCACUUCCGUUUCAGCUACAGUGACUCACUUCAUAUUCAAAGAUCUAUGGGCUGAUCGAUUCUCUCUUUCUUCCCAAUUGAAGGAGAAAUGUAGCGUCUUGGAGACUAGGGUUUCCAGUCUUGAAGUGCUUCGUGAUAGUCCCAAUCCUCAGCAGCUCCAAUGAAAAUAAUGGGUCUUGGACCCUCUUUGCAACCAUUGAAGGGGAGCCUUGGAACAACGGUAAAGUUGUCUCCGUCAGUGUUGUCAAAAGCGCGCUUAAAGCGCACUUAAGCCCUAAAGCGAGGCUCAAAAUAUAUUGAGCGCUUUGCCUCGCUUUGCGGGCGCUUCAGUGUCACAUCAAGGCUCUAAGGCAUACUUUUCCUUGCCAAUGAAUAUAAUCCUGAAAAGGCGACACUGGACGAUUGAUAUUUCAUUUUAUCGUAAUUUUUUUUUUAAUUUUUUUGUCCAUAUAUUUGUUAUUCAUGCU